Podarcis raffonei (Aeolian wall lizard) is the source of this 886-nucleotide long non-coding RNA. RefSeq lists it as uncharacterized. The record is from RefSeq and is a predicted model, not a curated record. NCBI's taxonomy places the organism in Eukaryota, Metazoa, Chordata, Lepidosauria, Squamata, Lacertidae. The transcript is spliced from 3 exons.
ACUAUUUAACAAUUGGAGCCUGAGUUUGAUUCCACCCCCCUUUCCUCUCUGUCCCUUUUCCAUUGUGUCGUGUUUUUUAGAUUGUAGGCAGGCUGUUCUGGGAGCCUUUUUAGCUGAAGCCUGGGUUACAAAUGCUUUAAAUAAAUAAUACUUCAAUAAGUUUAACACAGGGGAAGCAAAGAGGAAGUAUAAACUACAGGCCACCUGAAGUUUAAAAGCUCUGCAAGUACUGUAGAAUAAUCCCUAGCUUUAUUGAGGACAGACUGGUGGAUUCAUAUGGCUGUUCCCUCAUUUGAGACUGCUACAGGUCCAUAAAAGUACACGAAGAAGCAUGGAAGGUCUACAACAUUCCUUGUGAUAAUAAUUCAGUAUGGCAGGCUUGGAAUAAAGAUUCCAGGUUUAAAAUCAGAUGAAGAUGCAGGGGGAAAAUCAGGUUUUUUUCUCAUUUCAUCCAGAAGGUGGCAACAUAUCAUGACUUUUCUUCCAUUGAAGUGAAGAGGAUAUAUAACAAAAUAUAGAAUCUCUCAUGCUGAAAUUAAUACCAAUACAGUGGUUCCAUAUGAAUAAUAGCUGAUUUUAAAAUAUAUUUCUUAAUAUAUAUAAUCUUUGAAAGUCUGCGAUGGCAGUUACAUGGUUACAAAUAUUAGUCCUUAUCUCCUGUGGUCAAAAUAAGGACUGUAAUUUUAGUUUUAUUUAGACCUAAUCACCAUAAUCAGGGUGCACAAUCUGCACAUUCCUCCUUCACUCCUUCCUUCCUACUUAGUGGUGAAACUAGUGACUGACUUAGUACAGUAGCACCUUGGUUUGCAACCGUUUUGGAUUACAACCACGUCAAACCCUGAAGUGUGUGUCCCUUUUAUUGGAUUACAACCCAUUUUGGGGUGGA